CGUGCACCGGUGGGGUCCCUCGGCCUGGCCUGCGGCUCUCUGACAUCCCCUGAGGGGUCCUGGAUUGUGAGAGGGCGUAGGCCAGGCCGAGGGACCCCACCGGUGCAUG
Non-coding RNA from Myotis lucifugus (little brown bat), 109 nucleotides. The record is from Rfam. Lineage: Eukaryota; Metazoa; Chordata; Mammalia; Chiroptera; Vespertilionidae.